UCCGGUUUGGCACCGGCAGUCUCCCAUGAGUCCCCGACAUAACUCGCUGGCAACAUGGGACAGGGGUUGCGCUCGUUGCGCCACUUAAGGCAACACCUCACGACACGAGCUGACGACAGCCAUGCAACACCUGUGUAGGGCCCUUGCGGACACCACAUCUCUGCGGCUUUUCCCUACAUGUCAAGCCCUGGUAAGGUUCUUCGCGUCGCGUCGAAUUAAGAAACAUGCUCCGCUGCUUGUGCGAGCCCCCGUCAAUUCCUUUGAGUUUUAGCCUUGCGGCCGUAGUCCCCAGGCGGAGCACUUAUCGCGUUAGCUGCGGCACCAGGGGGGUCGAUACCCCCGACACCUAGUGCUCAUCGUUUACGGCGUGGACUAC
Molecule: unclassified non-coding RNA, 376 nt
Filed under: uncultured Actinomycetes bacterium
Lineage: Bacteria; Bacillati; Actinomycetota; Actinomycetes
Description: uncultured actinobacterium contains 16S-23S intergenic spacer region
Source: RNAcentral